Molecule: ribosomal RNA, 254 nt
Filed under: uncultured bacterium
Lineage: Bacteria
Description: partial 16S ribosomal RNA
Rfam family: Bacterial small subunit ribosomal RNA
Source: RNAcentral
UACGGGGGGGGCAAGCGUUGUUCGGAAUUACUGGGCGUAAAGAGCUCGUAGGCGGCUCAGUAAGUCGGGUGUGAAAACUCCAGGCUCAACCUGGAGACGCCACCUGAUACUGCUGUGGCUAGAGUCCGGUAGGGGAGCAUGGAAUUCCUGGUGUAGCAGUGAAAUGCGUAGAUAUGCGGAGGAACACCGGUGGCGAAGGCGACCAUCUGGACGACAACUGACGCUGAGACGCGAAAGCGUGGGGAGCAAACAGG